UGUCCAGUAGCACCUUAGAGACCAGCUAAGUUUGUUCUGGAUAUAAGCUUUCGUGUGCAGGCAGGAGUGUGUUCUGAAGAAGUGUGCAUGCACACGAAAGCUUAUACCCAGAACAAAUUUAGUUGAUCUCUAAGAUGCUACUGGACA
This is a non-coding RNA of Podarcis lilfordi (Lilford's wall lizard), 147 nucleotides long. The record is from the annotation of a GenBank genome assembly. NCBI's taxonomy places the organism in Eukaryota, Metazoa, Chordata, Lepidosauria, Squamata, Lacertidae.